This 504-nucleotide ribosomal RNA is filed under the name uncultured bacterium. Its description in RNAcentral is "bacterial SSU rRNA". It matches the Rfam family "Bacterial small subunit ribosomal RNA", at positions 21 to 518 of the family's 1533-position model. The record is from RNAcentral.
GGCUCAGGAUGAACGCUAGCGGCAGGCUAACACAUGCAAGUCGAGGGGCAUCGGGAGUAGCAAUACUUGCCGGCGACCGGCGCAAGGGUGCGUAACGCGUGAGCAACAUGCCCGUAUCAGGGGGGAUAAUCCAUGGAAACGUGGUCUAAUACCCCAUAGUAAUUAUGUAAGGCAUCUUAUAUAAUUUAAAGCUUUGGUGGAUACGGAUUGGCUCGCGUGACAUUAGCUGGAUGGUAAGGUAACGGCUUACCAUGGCUACGAUGUCUAGGGGUUCUGAGAGGAAGGUCCCCCCACACUGGAACUGAGAUACGGUCCAGACUCCUACGGGAGGCAGCAGUGAGGAAUAUUGGACAAUGGAUGGAAAUCUGAUCCAGCCAUGCCGCGUGCAAGGAAGACGGCCCUAUGGGUUGUAAACUGCUUUUGUAUGGGAGCAAUAAGGGCUACGUGUAGUCCGAUGAGAGUACCAUACGAAUAAGCACCGGCUAACUCCGUGCCAGCCGCCGC